UUGCUUGUGUUGGUUGGUUGGAUCCUUGCUCUGGCAACGACGUCCAUUCUCACAUGCAUCUUCAGUCAUGUCUCUAGAUACAUACUAUCUCGAGUUCUGUAUUGGUUUCUUGUGUUGUGUACCUUAUGCAAUGGCAAUCGUUAGUCUAAAUGUUACAUUUCGCCUUUACUCGUCCCUUUUUGGGUUGAUGUAAGGUGAACCACGAAGUAAUCUUUGUGUCCCACUCUUCUCACAUUGAUUUGUGCUUGUAGUGUGGUGCAUAGGGCAUUUGCUUGAUCUCUUGGAUGCGGUGCAUUAUAUAUGGGCAUGAGGUCUCACGUCCUCUUUCUGCCCGAACAAAAGCUUUCAUCGCUUAGUUGCGAACGAUUGCGAUCCCCGUUUCGAGCCUUUUGGCAAGUACGGUGAUGGCUUCGUUGAGGAAUGCUACCUGGUUGAUCCUG
RNAcentral lists this unclassified non-coding RNA (440 nucleotides) under Oreocarya celosioides. RNAcentral describes it as "partial external transcribed spacer". The record is from RNAcentral. Lineage: Eukaryota; Viridiplantae; Streptophyta; Magnoliopsida; Boraginales; Boraginaceae.